This 432-nucleotide ribosomal RNA is filed under the name uncultured bacterium. Its description in RNAcentral is "bacterial SSU rRNA". It matches the Rfam family "Bacterial small subunit ribosomal RNA", at positions 28 to 507 of the family's 1533-position model. The record is from RNAcentral.
GAUGAACGCUGGCGGCGUGCUUAACACAUGCAAGUCGAACGAACCUUCGGGUUAGUGGCGGACGGGUGAGUAACGCGUGGGAAUCUGCCCUCAGGAGGGGGAUAACGGCUGGAAACGGCCGCUAAUACCCCAUAUGCCGAGAGGUGAAAUGAAUUUCGCCUGAGGAUGAGCCCGCGUCUGAUUAGCUAGUUGGUGAGGUAAGAGCUCACCAAGGCAUCGAUCAGUAGCUGGUCUGAGAGGAUGAUCAGCCACACUGGGACUGAGACACGGCCCAGACUCCUACGGGAGGCAGCAGUGGGGAAUUUUCCGCAAUGGGCGAAAGCCUGACGGAGCAACGCCGCGUGAGGGAUGAAGGCCUCUGGGCUGUAAACCUCUUUUCUCAAGGAAGAAGAUCUGACGGUACUUGAGGGAUAAGCCACGGCUAAUUCCGUG